AGCGGGCUCCAAUAAGCACAUCCAUAAAAUUGGCGCCCCAAAUUUCGUACAGUCCAAGCGGUCUUCAAUUGAGCCAAUUUUCCACAAUAACAAUAUUUGGGAUGAUCAGAAGCACUGGAUUGGGUGGAACGUGCAGGGUGCGAAUGUUGAGUUGAGUGCAAGGUGCAAUUAGAGGUGGAAUAACUUUGAUCGGAAGUAGGUUGCUGAGACAUUGAAGCAGUCUGCUGUUAGUAGGGAGGAGCAGAACUUG
RNAcentral lists this long non-coding RNA (250 nucleotides) under Panax ginseng (ginseng). RNAcentral describes it as "long non-coding RNA (PGIN_LNC013589)". Lineage: Eukaryota; Viridiplantae; Streptophyta; Magnoliopsida; Apiales; Araliaceae. The record is from RNAcentral.